UGUGAGCUGUCUGAUCUGGCUGUCU
RNAcentral lists this microRNA (25 nucleotides) under Eptesicus fuscus (big brown bat). Its description in RNAcentral is "efu-miR-9311". Lineage: Eukaryota; Metazoa; Chordata; Mammalia; Chiroptera; Vespertilionidae. The record is from miRBase by way of RNAcentral.